RNAcentral lists this ribosomal RNA (316 nucleotides) under uncultured eukaryote. RNAcentral describes it as "partial 18S ribosomal RNA". It matches the Rfam family "Eukaryotic small subunit ribosomal RNA", at positions 1470 to 1796 of the family's 1831-position model. The record is from RNAcentral.
CCCUUAGAUGUUCUGGGCUGCACGCGCGCUACACUGAAGCGUUCAACGAGUAUUCACCUUGCCCGGGAGGGGUAAUCUCGAAUACACUUCGUGAUGGGGAUAGAUCAUUGCAAUUAUUGAUCUUCAACGAGGAAUUCCUAGUAAGCGCAAGUCAUCAGCUUGCGCUGAUUACGUCACUGCUUUUUGUACACACCGCCCGUCGCUCCUACCGAUUGAAUGUUCCGGCGAGCCAUUCGGACGAUAUGCUUUUGGUUUACCAUUAGCACUUCGGAAGUUUUGCAAGCCAUAAUAUUUAGAGGAAGGAGAAGUCGUAACA